AUUGUCCAACAUCAAGUGCUCAAUUUCUAUCUCAGGUGGAGAGAAGCAGCUUGAUGGUAAUGGUAGCAGCAAUCUGCUUCAGGUGUUACAGUGCACAGAGGACACUCCAAGGGUUCAAGAAUAUGGUGGUAUUGGGCUUUGAUAUGUGCAUGAUAGUAAGUUUUUUCUUGUUUCAGCACAUCAAGCUUCACAUCUGCACUGCUCGUAUAUUGUAUAGAAGGAAAGACCCUGUUACCACCCUGUCAACAUGAACCUAAAUGCCAGCUCUCCGCACAGCAACUGAAAAGAUAGCACGGAGGAGGGAAAUAAAAUCUACUGACAUAAUGUAA
This is a long non-coding RNA of Ornithodoros turicata, 329 nucleotides long. RefSeq lists it as uncharacterized. NCBI's taxonomy places the organism in Eukaryota, Metazoa, Arthropoda, Arachnida, Ixodida, Argasidae. The transcript is spliced from 2 exons. The record is from RefSeq and is a predicted model, not a curated record.